UGCCUAACAGCUAGCCCACCCAAACAAUUUCAACAAACCCCUGUUAAUAACCCCUAAGUACCCCAGUAUUUAUUUUAAAUAAACCAUUUUUCCCCCUUAGUAUAGGCGAUAGAAAAGGGCCCACGGCGCAAUAGAGAAAGUACCGCAAGGGAACGCUGAAAGAGAAGUGAAACAACCCAGUAAAGCCUAAAAAAGCAGAGAUCUAAACUCGUACCUUUUGCAUCAUGAUUUAGCAAGUGUAACCCAAGCAAAGCGUACUUUAGUUUGACGUCCCGAAACUAGGUGAGCUACUCCAAGACAGCCUAUCAAUAGGGCGUACCCGUCUCUGUGGCAAAAGAGUGGGGAGAGCUUUGAGUAGAGGUGACAAACCUACCGAACCUAGUUAUAGCUGGUUGUCCAAGAAAUGAAUAGAAGUUCAGCCUUUCAGCUUCUCUUUUCACCUUAGUCUGACCCCUAUUGAUGCAUUAAAGAAACCGAAAGAGUUAGUCAAAGGGGGUACAGCCCCUUUGAAUCAAGACACAACUUUACCAGGAGGGUAAAGAUCAUAAUAAUUAAAGCUAAAUGUUCUGGUGGGCCUAAAAGCAGCCAUCCCCUUAGAAAGCGUUAAAGCUCAGACAUGCGACCAUACUUCUUAUCCUGAUCACUUAAUCUUACCCCCCUAACCGUACUGGACCAUCCCAUGCCAACAUGGGAGUGACUAUGCUGAAAUGAGUAAUAAGAGAGCUACCGGCUCUCUCCCUGCACACGUGUAUAUCGGAACGGACAACCCACCGAACCUUAACGGCCCCAAAUAAAGAGGGCAGUGGAUGUUAGACCAAAAAACUAGAAAAAUAUCCAAAAACCAACCGUUAAACCCACACAGGUGUGCCCCCAGGGAAAGACUAAA
RNAcentral lists this ribosomal RNA (886 nucleotides) under Hexagrammos otakii (fat greenling). RNAcentral describes it as "partial 16S rRNA". The stretch from base 191 to 886 matches the Rfam family "Bacterial large subunit ribosomal RNA", at positions 566 to 1685 of the family's 2925-position model. The record is from RNAcentral. Lineage: Eukaryota; Metazoa; Chordata; Actinopteri; Perciformes; Hexagrammidae.